Molecule: long non-coding RNA, 519 nt
Organism: Thalassophryne amazonica
Lineage: Eukaryota; Metazoa; Chordata; Actinopteri; Batrachoidiformes; Batrachoididae
Exons: 3
Source: RefSeq, a predicted model, not a curated record
UUUAGCUGUCACUUGAGUGACUUGAUUUUUUUUGUUGGUCUUCCAAGACGUUUCUCUGCUUUCCUGAGUAGCUGCUUCAGUUUUCUUCAAAAUGUUCAGUUACUGUAAAAUUGUUGAUGUUGCUUUUACCUGGUGAUUGACAACCUUUAAUAAUGGAAGUGAAAGACUUUUAUUUUAACCUGUCUCAUGAGUAGUUCUGUAUCUUGAACAUAUUUUGCAAAAUUGAAGGUGGCACUAAUGCAAAUGGGCAAAUACACACAAUUAGCUCCAAACCCCUUGUGCUGCUCUCGUGCAGUAUGGUACACGCUGCUCGUGCUCUGUCACACGAAUCAUACACCACCAUUCUGACAGUUCAGACGCACGAGCAAAUAAAUACACACACACACAGAUGUUAAAAUACACUUAUUUAUUUAUUUUUUCAUUUCCAAGUUCAGUUUAUUUGAGAAUUAACCACUGAUUUCUUCUUGAACAUCUUGAAAAUUGUGGAUUAGAUGUGAAAGAUAUUUUGAGUUGUCUCAA